GAUGAACGCUGGCGGCGUGCCUAAUACAUGCAAGUCGAGCGAACGGACGAGAAGCUUGCUUCUCUGAUGUUAGCGGCGGACGGGUGAGUAACACGUGGAUAACCUACCUAUAAGACUGGGAUAACUUCGGGAAACCGGAGCUAAUACCGGAUGAUAUUUUGAACCGCAUGGUCCAAAAGUGAAAGACGGUCUUGCUGUCACUUAUAGAUGGAUCCGCGCUGCAUUAGCUAGUUGGUAAGGUAACGGCUUACCAAGGCAACGAUGCAUAGCCGACCUGAGAGGGCGAUCGGCCACACUGGAACUGAGACACGGUCCAGACUCCUACGGGAGGCAGCAGUAGGGAAUCUUCCGCAAUGGGUGAAAGCCUGACGGAGCAACGCCGCGUGAGUGAUGAAGGUCUUCGGAUCGUAAAACUCUGUUAUUAGGGAAGAACAUAUGUGUAAGUAACUGUGCACAUCUUGACGGUACCUAAUCAGAAAGCCACGGCUAACUACGUG
RNAcentral lists this ribosomal RNA (497 nucleotides) under uncultured bacterium. RNAcentral's name for it is "partial 16S ribosomal RNA". It matches the Rfam family "Bacterial small subunit ribosomal RNA", at positions 28 to 507 of the family's 1533-position model. The record is from RNAcentral.